Molecule: ribosomal RNA, 445 nt
Filed under: uncultured bacterium
Lineage: Bacteria
Description: partial 16S ribosomal RNA
Rfam family: Bacterial small subunit ribosomal RNA
Source: RNAcentral
GUGAGGAAUAUUGGUCAAUGGGCGGGAGCCUGAACCAGCCAAGUCGCGUGAAGGAAGAAGGAUCUAUGGUUCGUAAACUUCUUUUGCAGGGGAAUAAAGUGCAGGACGUGUCCUGUUUUGUAUGUACCCUGAGAAUAAGGAUCGGCUAACUGCGUGCCAGCAGCCGCGGUAAUACGGAGGAUCCGAGCGUUAUCCGGAUUUAUUGGGUUUAAAGGGUGCGUAGGUGGUCUGAUAAGUCAGCGGUGAAAGUUUGCAGCUUAACUGUAAAAAUGCCGUUGAAAGUGUCGGACUUGAGUGUAAAUGAGGUAGGCGGAAUGCGUGGUGUAGCGGUGAAAUGCAUAGCUAUCACGCAGAACUCCGAUUGCGAAGGCAGCUUACUAAGCUACAACUGACACUGAAGCACGAAAGCGUGGGGAUCAAACAGGAUUAGAUACCCCGGUAGUCC